RNAcentral lists this ribosomal RNA (490 nucleotides) under uncultured bacterium. RNAcentral describes it as "partial 16S ribosomal RNA". It matches the Rfam family "Bacterial small subunit ribosomal RNA", at positions 30 to 507 of the family's 1533-position model. The record is from RNAcentral.
AUUGAACGCUGGCGGCAGGCCUAACACAUGCAAGUCGAACGGUAACAGGAAGAAGCUUGCUUCUUUGCUGACGAGUGGCGGACGGGUGAGUAAUGUCUGGGAAACUGCCUGAUGGAGGGGGAUAACUACUGGAAACGGUAGCUAAUACCGCAUAACGUCGCAAGACCAAAGAGGGGGACCUUCGGGCCUCUUGCCAUCGGAUGUGCCCAGAUGGGAUUAGCUAGUAGGUGGGGUAACGGCUCACCUAGGCGACGAUCCCUAGCUGGUCCGAGAGGAUGACCAGCCACACUGGAACUGAGACACGGUCCAGGCUCCUACGGGAGGCAGCAGUGGGGAAUAUUGCACAAUGUGCGCAAGCCUGAUGCAGCCAUGCCGCGUGUAUGAAGAAGGCCUUCGGGUUGUAAAGUACUUUCAGCGGGGAGGAAGGGAGUAAAGUUAAUACCUUUACUCAUUGACGUUACCCGCAGAAGAAGCACCGGCUAACUCCGUG